RNAcentral lists this ribosomal RNA (468 nucleotides) under uncultured bacterium. Its description in RNAcentral is "partial 16S ribosomal RNA". It matches the Rfam family "Bacterial small subunit ribosomal RNA", at positions 28 to 507 of the family's 1533-position model. The record is from RNAcentral.
GACGAACGCUGGCGGCGUGCUUAACACAUGCAAGUCGAACGGAAAGGCCCUGCUUUUGUGGGGUGCUCGAGUGGCGAACGGGUGAGUAACACGUGAGUAACCUGCCCUUGACUUUGGGAUAACUUCAGGAAACUGGGGCUAAUACCGGAUAGGAGCUCCUGCUGCAUGGUGGGGGUUGGAAAGUUUCGGCGGUUGGGGAUGGACUCGCGGCUUAUCAGCUUGUUGGUGGGGUAGUGGCUUACCAAGGCUUUGACGGGUAGCCGGCCUGAGAGGGUGACCGGCCACAUUGGGACUGAGGUACGGCCCAGACGCCAACGGGAGGCAGCAGUGGGGAAUAUUGCACAAUGGGCGGAAGCCUGAUGCAGCAACGCCGCGUGCGGGAUGACGGCCUUCGGGUUGUAAACCGCUUUCGCCUGUGACGAAGCGUGAGUGACGGUAAUGGGUAAAGAAGCACCGGCUAACUACGUG